CGUUCUCCAAAGCCCCUAAAUUCAGGUGAGCUAUUGCAGAGCACAGAAAUAGAGCGUGUCUCCGGAACAUCCAGCCCCAACUCCGUGAGGUCCAGGCUACUACCAACCCUGGGAUGCUAAUACACCGCACAGCAGCAGCCUCAUCAUGACUCACCUCCAGAAACUCAAAUUCGUCCGCUUUGGCCAAGGUGAGUUCCACCUCCGCCUUCAGUUUCUGCAUCUCAUUCCUCUUCUUGACGAGAACCUGGUAGAUGGUCUCCAGCUUUCCGAAGACCCUCUUCUCUUCCUCCUUCAGCUUGCAUGUGGAGCUGGUCUCCGCCGAGUCAAUGACAGCUUUCAUCUCCAUAUACUCUAGUCUCAGCUGUUCCAUCUUCCUGUUCAUAGCGUCCUACGAGGCCAAGAUGAAGAGGCUCCUGUCAGAGUGGUAAAAUGCUAAGGCUGCGCUCCUGUGUGUCGGUGAGAGGGGAGCACCAGGAACUGUAUGACACUUCAUGGCACCACUCUGGGCAGCCACUUGGCAAUGUCCUGUCCAUCUGGAGGUAUCACCGUCUCCUCCGAGGAGUUGCGGUUCCCCUGUGCGGGUUGGGAAACUGAGAGCUGCAUCUCCACCAGCACACCUGAAGCCACACAGGCCAAUCCGUGAUAGAGCCGGUAUCAGAACCCGGACCUCAAUAAAGGCAUAGUUGCUGCAGCUCAGCAAUGGUAUUCUUUAAAA
This is a long non-coding RNA of Peromyscus eremicus (cactus mouse), 715 nucleotides long. RefSeq lists it as uncharacterized. The record is from RefSeq and is a predicted model, not a curated record. The transcript is spliced from 2 exons. NCBI's taxonomy places the organism in Eukaryota, Metazoa, Chordata, Mammalia, Rodentia, Cricetidae.